GACGAACGCUGGCGGCGUGCCUAAUACAUGCAAGUCGAGCGGACGAAUCGAAAGCUUGCUUUUGAUUCGUUAGCGGCGGACGGGUGAGUAACACGUGGGCAACCUGCCCUGUAGACGGGGAUAACACCGAGAAAUCGGUGCUAAUACCGGAUAACACGAAAUGUCGCAUGACGUUUCGUUGAAAGACGGCGCAAGCUGCCGCUACAGGAUGGGCCCGCGGCGCAUUAGCUAGUUGGUGAGGUAACGGCUCACCAAGGCGACGAUACGUAGCCGACCUGAGAGGGUGAUCGGCCACACUGGGACUGAGACACGGCCCAGACUCCUACGGGAGGCAGCAGUAGGGAAUCUUCCGCAAUGGACGAAAGUCUGACGGAGCAACGCCGCGUGAGCGAAGAAGGCCUGCGGGUCGUAAAGCGCUGUUGUUAGGGAAGAACAAGUAACGCAGUAACUGGCGUUACCGUGACGGUACCUAACGAGAAAGCCACGGCUAACUACGU
Molecule: ribosomal RNA, 497 nt
Filed under: uncultured bacterium
Lineage: Bacteria
Description: partial 16S ribosomal RNA
Rfam family: Bacterial small subunit ribosomal RNA
Source: RNAcentral